UGGGGAAUAUUGGACAAUGGGGGCAACCCUGAUCCAGCAAUGCCGCGUGAGUGAUGAAGGCCUUCGGGUUGUAAAGCUCUUUCGGUGGGGACGAUGAUGACGGUACCCACAGAAGAAGCCCCGGCUAACUUCGUGCCAGCAGCCGCGGUAAUACGAAGGGGGCGAGCGUUGUUCGGAAUUACUGGGCGUAAAGGGCGCGUAGGCGGUUUGUUAAGUUAGGCGUGAAAGGCCCGGGCUCAACCUGGGGAGUGCGCUUAAGACUGGCAGGCUGGGAUGCGAGAGAGGAUGGCGGAAUUCCCAGUGUAGAGGUGAAAUUCGUAGAUAUUGGGAAGAACACCGGUGGCGUAGGCGGCCAUCUGGCUCGUGAUUGACGCUGAGGCGCGAAAGCGUGGGGAGCAAACAGG
RNAcentral lists this ribosomal RNA (404 nucleotides) under uncultured Rhodospirillaceae bacterium. RNAcentral describes it as "bacterial SSU rRNA". It matches the Rfam family "Bacterial small subunit ribosomal RNA", at positions 355 to 776 of the family's 1533-position model. The record is from RNAcentral. Lineage: Bacteria; Pseudomonadati; Pseudomonadota; Alphaproteobacteria; Rhodospirillales; Rhodospirillaceae.